This 351-nucleotide ribosomal RNA is filed under the name uncultured bacterium. Its description in RNAcentral is "bacterial SSU rRNA". It matches the Rfam family "Bacterial small subunit ribosomal RNA", at positions 917 to 1269 of the family's 1533-position model. The record is from RNAcentral.
GGGCCCGCACAAGCGGUGGAGCAUGUGGUUUAAUUCGAUGCAACGCGAAGAACCUUACCUACCCUUGAAAUCCUCAGAAUUCUCUAGAGAUAGAGAAGUGCCUUCGGGAACUGAGUGACAGGUGCUGCAUGGCUGUCGUCAGCUCGUGUCGUGAGAUGUUGGGUUAAGUCCCGUAACGAGCGCAACCCCUACUCUUAAUUGCCAGCGGUUCGGCCGGGAACUUUAAGAGAACUGCCGGUGAUAAACCGGAGGAAGGUGGGGAUGAUGUCAAGUCAUCAUGGCCCUUACGGGUAGGGCUACACACGUGCUACAAUGGACAGUACAGAGGGCUGCAAACCCGCGAGGGGAGCG